GACGAACGCUGGCGGCGUGCUUUAACACAUGCAAGUCGAACGAAGAGCGAUGGAAGCUUGCUUCUAUCAUCUUAGUGGCGAACGGGUGAGUAACGCGUAAUCAACCUGCCCUUCAGAGGGGGACAACAGUUGGAAACGACUGCUAAUACCGCAUACGAUCUAAUCUCGGCAUCGAGGAAAGAUGAAAGGUGGCCUCUAUUUAUAAGCUAUCACUGAAGGAGGGGAUUGCGUCUGAUUAGCUAGUUGGAGGGGUAACGGCCCACCAAGGCGAUGAUCAGUAGCCGGUCUGAGAGGAUGAACGGCCACAUUGGGACUGAGACACGGCCCAGACUCCUACGGGAGGCAGCAGUGGGGAAUCUUCCGCAAUGGACGAAAGUCUGACGGAGCAACGCCGCGUGAGUGAUGACGGCCUUCGGGUUGUAAAGCUCUGUUAAUCGGGACGAAAGCCUUCUUGCGAACAGUUAGAAGGAUUGAUCGUACCGGAAUAGAAUCAGAC
RNAcentral lists this ribosomal RNA (496 nucleotides) under Veillonella dispar. RNAcentral describes it as "bacterial SSU rRNA". It matches the Rfam family "Bacterial small subunit ribosomal RNA", at positions 28 to 494 of the family's 1533-position model. Lineage: Bacteria; Bacillati; Bacillota; Negativicutes; Veillonellales; Veillonellaceae. The record is from RNAcentral.